GAUGAAUGCUGGCGGCGUGCCUAACACAUGCAAGUCGAGCGGCAGCGAGUUUUACACUGAAUUCUGGAAGCUUCUGAGUAGUACAGAAGAUUUAUUCAAGAGUUUUGUGUAAAAUGUCGGCGAGCGGCGGACGGCUGAGUAACGCGUAGGAAUUUGCCCCAAAGUGAGGAAUAACUGCCCGAAAGGGUAGCUAAUGCCGCAUAUGGUCUUCGGAUUAAAGCCUUCGGGCGCUUUGGGAGAAGCCUGCGUUGGAUUAGGUAGUUGGUAGGGUAAUGGCCUACCAAGCCGACGAUCCAUAGCUGGUCUGAGAGGAUGAUCAGCCAGACUGGAACUGAGACACGGUCCAGACUCCUACGGGAAGCAGCAGUGAGGAAUCUUCCACAAUGGGCGAAAGCCUGAUGGAGCAACGCCGCGUGAAGGAUGAAGGCCUUCGGGUUGUAAACUUCUUUUAUGAGUGAAGAAUAUGACGGUAACUCAUGAAUAAGCACCGGCUAACUACGUG
RNAcentral lists this ribosomal RNA (502 nucleotides) under uncultured bacterium. RNAcentral describes it as "partial 16S ribosomal RNA". It matches the Rfam family "Bacterial small subunit ribosomal RNA", at positions 28 to 507 of the family's 1533-position model. The record is from RNAcentral.